AAAUUUGUUUUGUUUUAUGUAAAUGGGUAUUUAGAUUGCGUGUUUGUCCGCGCAUCGUUUGCAUGCCUGCUGACCUUUUGAAACCAGAAGAGGGUGUUGGAGUCCCUGGAAUUUAAGUUACAGAAGGUUGUGAGCCACCAAGUGGGUGUCGGGAAGUGGAAACGAGUCUGGAAGAGCAGCCACUGAGCCACUCUAGUCCAUGCAGUUUGCAUCUUGAACGGCCCUGCAAAGUACUGAAGACUUGGUCCCCAGAUGAUGUCACUAGGAAGGGCUUUGGCACCUUCCUAGUUCAAGGAGAGCCUACUGCAGAACCCAGAGAAUGGAACGAGUAAAUGUUUAUGCAUAUGGACUUAGCGUUCACAGUACACCGUGAGCCUAUGUUUAUGCAUAUGGACUUAGCGUUCACAGUACACCGUGAGCCUUUGAAUUCCCAGAAGGACACGCUAUCCCUGGAACUGAGAACCUGACUCAGGAGUGGCACGCUGUGGACAAGCAGUAAGUGCUCUCGGUGGACCAUCAAAGUGAUACCAGCUACUGCAGGGGCAUGCCUGUCUACCCAUGGUGGUGACACCUCAGGGGACACUAACCGGUCUAUGCCCUGUGGCUCCAGAGGAGGAAAACAGUGACACAGCAGAAGUCAGUGGGAAUCGAUGGAGCUCUGAAGCCUGGCUCCACAUGGUCGGCCUUCUGCUCUCUGCAGUGUGACUUUGAAGCAAGUUAUUCCAACUGAGUCUCACUUCUUCCUCUCCACAGGGAGACGUCAUUCCAACCUGACAGACUGUCAUGAGAAUUAAGUGAAGAAAUCUGGAGCAGUAGGUCCAGGACCCUGCACACACAUCUCGUUAGAAUUGUCAUGUGCAGGGUCUUGGAAAAUAGCCAAG
RNAcentral lists this long non-coding RNA (881 nucleotides) under Rattus norvegicus (Norway rat). RNAcentral describes it as "long non-coding RNA NONRATT016730". Lineage: Eukaryota; Metazoa; Chordata; Mammalia; Rodentia; Muridae. The record is from RNAcentral.